UACGGGGGGGGCAAGCGUUGUUCGGAAUUACUGGGCGUAAAGGGCUCGUAGGUGGCCAACUAAGUCAGACGUGAAAUCCCCAGGCUUAACCUGGGAACUGCGUCUGAUACUGGAUGGCUUGAAUUCGGGAGAGGGAUGCAGAAUUCCAGGUGUAGCGGUGAAAUGCGUAGAUAUCUGGAGGAAUACCGGUGGCGAAGGCGGCAUCCUGGACCGAGAUUGACGCUGAGGAGCGAAAGCCAGGGGAGCAAACAGG
RNAcentral lists this ribosomal RNA (253 nucleotides) under uncultured bacterium. Its description in RNAcentral is "partial 16S ribosomal RNA". It matches the Rfam family "Bacterial small subunit ribosomal RNA", at positions 524 to 776 of the family's 1533-position model. The record is from RNAcentral.